RNAcentral lists this transfer RNA (23 nucleotides) under Proctoporus subsolanus. Its description in RNAcentral is "partial tRNA-Leu". Lineage: Eukaryota; Metazoa; Chordata; Lepidosauria; Squamata; Gymnophthalmidae. The record is from RNAcentral.
CUUUUAAAGGAAACAAGUACUCC